This 558-nucleotide small RNA is filed under the name Pongo abelii (Sumatran orangutan). RNAcentral describes it as "retained intron". The record is from RNAcentral. Lineage: Eukaryota; Metazoa; Chordata; Mammalia; Primates; Hominidae.
AGAUAAGAGUCAGGAAAGCACCAAAUGCCGGGUGUGAACUCAUUUUGCCCUGGAAUAUAUGUAUGUCCCUUGCAGUUUGGAAUAUCUUUGCUCUAUGCCCUGCUGAGCCAUGGGGAGCAGCUGGUAUCACUGCAUUCUUCCCUGGAGGAACCCAACAGUGACCGUACAGCUUGGACAGACAUGGUGGUUCUGAUUGCCUGGGAGAUAGCCCAAAUGCCUACAGCCUCUCUGGCAGAACCCCUAGCUUUCCCCAGCAACCUACUUCCCCUGUUCUGUCACCACGUGGACAAACAAUUGGUUCAGCAGCUGGAGGCCAGGAUGGAGUUUGCCUGGAUCUACUGAUCUGUUUGUUCUGGAAUACGUGUAUGUGGGAAGUUGAAUCAUCAGACACUAGCUAUAUAGACUAUGUUUACAGGGAUCCAGAGAGUCUGAAGACAUUUCUUAUGCCUUUAUAUAUUGGAGAACCCUUCCCCAUUUUCAUAUCCUUUCUUCAAAAAUCUAAAUGAUGUGCCUAAAAAUAAGACACGGCAUAUAAGGUAUAAUUAAAGAGAUAAUAGA